UGUUUAGGUUUUUUGUUUAUUUUCCUGCAAGUACUGUAAGUGAAGUUAAAAUUUAUGAUUAAAAUGAAACUAAGCCAAAACGAAUUAUUAGCCCUCGCAGUAAUUGUAAUUUCGACCAUUGGUUUACUGAGUUUGAAAAAACAGAAAAAAAAAAGAUGUGUUCGAAGAUUUGGUGUACGUCCUAUAAAUCGAAAUAGACCAGCAGAUGGGAAUUUCAGUCUGAUUAAAGCAAUGGCUACAAAAGAUAGAGAUUAUUUUUUCAAGUACACCAGAAUGUCUCCGGAAAUGUUCACAAAUCUGUUGAGAUUGGUUGGCCACAAACUAGAGAAACAAAAAACCACCAAGAACCCAAUUGAAGCCAGUGAAAGAUUAAUUAUCACUUUGCAUUAUUUAUCAGAAGGUUGUUCUUAGCAGGAGUUGGCUUUUGGAUACCGCAUUGGAUUUUCUAUUGUGUCAACAAUCAUAAAAGAAACUGUUAAAGUCCUUUACGAAACACUUCAACCCAUUGUUAUGCCUAUACCAGUAAAGGAAGACUGGAGCAGAAUUGCUACUGGUUUCUGGAGACGCUGAAACAUUCCAAAUUGUUUGGGUGCAGUUGAUGGCAAGCAUGUGUCAAUAAAAUGUCCAGUUGCAAGCCAUUCUACCUAUUACAAUUAUAAAAAUCAUUUUAGUUUGGUGUUAAUUGCGAUGCAUUUUACAAAUUUGUAGUAGUGGAUGUAGGUGGUGAAGGAAGUAAUCCUGAUGGGGCUAUUUUUAGAAAUUCUGGGUUUGGUCGUCUUUUGUUGGAAGGUAAAAUAGAUAUACCUGGGUCAAAAACAUUAUCCAAUUCUAGCAUCAAUUUGCCCCAUUUUAUGGUAGCGAAUGCAGCAUUUCCGCUUUAUAAUAAUACAGGGUCCGGCAAAAUGAUCUCCCACAUUUUAAUUUUUAAUAAAAACGCCAAUGUAAAUGCUAUUUAUAUUUUAUUUUUAUUAAGUUUUGAAAAUUACAGAGUCCAAGUGGCGACUAUUUCUUUCGACACACAUUCGAAGCUGAUUUCUGAAAGUUUCCAUUAGUCGAGCAGUAAUUUGAGGCGAUAUUCCUGUAAUUUCUUGGCGUAUUGCUGCUUUCAAUUCGUCAAUGGUACGGGGAUGAUGUUGCAAAACCUUCUCUUUCAGGUACCCCCAAAGGAAAAAGUCGCAUGGGGCAAGAUUGGGUGAACGCGCAGGCCACCCAACGUUUCCACGUAACGAGAUUACGCGUCCUGGAAACAUUUCCCUUAACAGGUCCAUUGUCCUUCUUGCCGUAUGAGCUGUAGCCCCAUCCUGUUGAAACCACACAUCCGGAUGUUCAAGUUCCCUAAGUUUUGGUUCCAAAAAAUUACGUAGCGUGUCGACAUAUCGAUCAGCACCGUAACUGCUAACCGUUACCCCUCCUUCUUCAAAAAAAUAGGGACCCCAAACACCAAAAGAACCAACAGCACACCAAACGGUAACACGUUGGCUGUGAAGUGGCCUUUCAUGGAGCUGCCGCGGAUUUUCUGGUGCCCAGUAGCGAAAAUUCUGCUUGUUCACACAGCCAGACAAAUGGAAAUGAGCCUCGUCACUCGUUAUUAAAAGCGCAUUUUGUGGGAGGUUUUGAAGAGUAUCAUUGGAACAUUCUCGGCGAUUUUCCCAGUCCCGUCCACUAAGUUCUUGCACGAUCAUCAUUUUGUAUGGGUGGAACUUCAUAUCGGUGUGCAAAAUUUUUCUCACAGAACGAUCUGACAAACGCAAAGCAGAGGCAUGUUUAACAGCUGAACGUCUAGGAGAUCGUUCAACUGCUUCUCUUACAGCUGCAAUGUUUUCAGGUAUCCGAACACUUCUGGGUCUACCAGUUGAUUUUCUUCUUAAGGCUGAACCUGUAGCUCUAAAAUUUGAAACCCACAACAGUAUUGUUUUGCGAUCUGGAACUGGAUCAUGUCUAUCAAGCGCGAAGUGAGUACGAAAAUUUAUUUGUGUCGUAAUCACAGAUUCGUUACUUUUGAAAAAUGUUUCGAUAACGAAGGCACGAUGCUCGCCCGUCCAGUUCAUGGCGACAAAAGAAAUGGCAAGGCGCGCGCAGCCAACCGACUACGCUAAGCUGGCUCCCUCUUUAGUGAUUCGGGCUCAGUGGCGGCGCAAAAUGUGUCCAAAGGUAUUCUUGUCCAAAGAUAAAAAAUUUUUCUCAAACCAAUGGAGAUCCAUAUUGACAAUUCUGAAAAUAUAAUGUUGGCUACCAUUGUUCUCCACAAUUAUAUCCAAAAAUCUGAAGAUGAUUUACCUAUUUAUGAGAGAAAAUAUUGUCCAAUUGUAUAUUUAAUGAAAAUAGUGAGAUAUCUUUGGGCAGGUGGAGAAAUAAUGCAACAAAUUGGAAAAGUUGGAAGAAUGGGAGCUAAUAAUUCAAAAAAAAAAAGACGAAAGAUAAUAGAGAUAGCUUGAAAGAUUUUUUUCUAUCGCCUGAAGGAUCUUUGUCAUGGCAAUAUGAUUAUGUUAUGAGAGGUUCUGCACCUGAACAUUUUAUGUAAUUUAUUUUAAGUGCCGCAUUUGUAAUAGUUUAAAUAAUAAUAAAAUAUGUUGUGUAUAAAAGAUUA
Long non-coding RNA from Anthonomus grandis grandis, 2587 nucleotides. RefSeq lists it as uncharacterized. The transcript has 2 exons. The record is from RefSeq and is a predicted model, not a curated record. Lineage: Eukaryota; Metazoa; Arthropoda; Insecta; Coleoptera; Curculionidae.